This 1435-nucleotide long non-coding RNA is filed under the name Monodelphis domestica (gray short-tailed opossum). RNAcentral describes it as "lncRNA (ENSMODG00000049168.1)". The record is from RNAcentral. Lineage: Eukaryota; Metazoa; Chordata; Mammalia; Didelphimorphia; Didelphidae.
CCUUGGGUUACAGUUACCCAACUGUUUUUGCACUCCUGGGCUGGAUCCUGUGUGGAUAGGAGAUCCUGAGAGAGGCUCAGCUAGAGUGGGAAAAUUCUCAGUUGUUUCCUACAUAAAAAUUUCAUCCAACAGACCAAAAUCAGUGAAGGAGAUCACUGGGUAAAUUAUCAUUUCAAGCCCAAUUGCUCUAAAACGGACUACCAGCUGUUCCUCAGACUCAACCUUUGGCUCCGUGUCCUUGAGCAGACUCUCUCCCAUCCCUCAAUACAGUCUCUCGUUGCUCCUCCUUCUUAGAAUUCUUAGCUUCCUGCAAGGCUCAGCUCAGGUGUCAUCUUCUCCAGGAAGAUUUCUUGAGUCCCCCUUACCCUGGGCAUUAGUGCCCCAGCCCACCUCAGAUUGCUUUGGAGUUACUUUAAAAAAAAACAACACUUUUAUCUUGUCUUAGCAUCAGUUCUAACAUAGAAGAGGGGUUGGCAAUUAAAAGAAAACCUUUUAUCUUCUGUCUUGGCAUUGUUUUUAAGAUAGUAGAGCAGUAAAGGCUAGGCAAUUGGGGUUAAGUGACUUGUCCAGGGUCACACAGCUAAGCAGUCAGGGUAUUAGGCCAGAUUUGAACCCAGGAACUCCCAACUCCAGGCUUGGUGCUCUUUCCACUAUGCUACCUAGCUAGCCUGCCUGUAUUUACUUAAAAAAAAAAAUCCUUAUCUACUGUCUUAGAAGUUAUAUCACUUAGUCAUAGAUUUUUUAAAAAUCGUAUCUUCAGUCUUCAGAAUCAAUGCUGUAUAUUGGCUCCAAGUCACAAGAGGGAUAAGGGCUAAGUAGUGGGGGGUUAUGUGACUUGCCCAGGGUUACCUAGCUAGGAAGUAUCUGAAGCCUCAUUUGAACCCAGGACCUCCCAUCUCCAGACCUGGUUCUCUCUCCACUGAGCCACCCAGCUGCCUGGUUUGUGUUUACUUUUACAAGAUGCCUUCUGGAUCUUUCAUCUGUGCAUGUUUAGUAUCCCCACCAGCAGAGUGAAAGUCUUUGGAGGGCAUGUACAGUUUUGAUUUUGUUCUUUGUCUCUCCAGCAUCUAAAGGGGUGCCUUGCACAUUUUCUGCUAUUCUUGGUGUGGGGACCCUCCGUUGCUAAGAAAUUCCCACCAUCGGAAGAACCGUGGGAGCAGAAACACAGAAGAAAAACAACUGCUUGAUCACAGGGUUGAUGGGGAUAUGAUUAGUUGUGUAGAUCACACUGGUGCAAUUAUCAGUAAUAUGGAAGCAGGUCUUGAUCAAUGACACAUGUAAAAGCUGGUGGAAUUGCAUGUCAGUUAUGGGGGGGGUGAGGAGAGGAAUGAAAGAACAUGAAUCAUGUAACCAUGGGAAAAGAUUCUAAAUUAAUUAAACAAAAAUUUUCAAUUAAAAAAAUAAAGAUAUUGACUAUGUAAAAAAAAUUAAUGAA